CCUACGGGAGGCAGCAGUGAGGAAUAUUGGUCAAUGGCCGUAAGGCUGAACCAGCCAAGUAGCGUGAGGGAAGAAUGCCCUAUGGGUUGUAAACCUCUUUUAUGCGGGGGUACAGGUUUCCACGUGUUGAUGUUUGCAUGUACCUCAUGACUAAGGACCGGCUAAUUCCGUGCCAUCAGCCGCGGUACUACGGAGGGUCCGGGCGUUUUCCGGAUUUAUUGGGUUUAAGGGGAGCGUAGUCCGGUCUUUAAGCGGGCCGUGAAAUUUUGUGGCUCAACCAUGAGAGUGCGGCGCGAACUGGAGACCUGGAGUGCGCGGAAGGCAGGCGGAAUUCGUGGUGUAGCGGUGAAAUGCUUAGAUAUCACGAAGAACCCCGAUUGCGAAGGCAGCCUGCCGAAGCGUGACUGACGCUGAAGCGCGAAAGCGCGGGGAUCGAACAGGAUUAGAUACCCUAGUAGUC
This 460-nucleotide ribosomal RNA is filed under the name uncultured bacterium. Its description in RNAcentral is "partial 16S ribosomal RNA". It matches the Rfam family "Bacterial small subunit ribosomal RNA", at positions 338 to 795 of the family's 1533-position model. The record is from RNAcentral.